RNAcentral lists this ribosomal RNA (583 nucleotides) under Burkholderia cenocepacia. RNAcentral's name for it is "partial 23S ribosomal RNA". It matches the Rfam family "Bacterial large subunit ribosomal RNA", at positions 1088 to 1680 of the family's 2925-position model. The record is from RNAcentral. Lineage: Bacteria; Pseudomonadati; Pseudomonadota; Betaproteobacteria; Burkholderiales; Burkholderiaceae.
AACAGUCAGGAGGUUGGCUUAGAAGCAGCCACCCUUUAAAGAAAGCGUAAUAGCUCACUGAUCGAGUCGUCCUGCGCGGAAGAUGUAACGGGGCUAAGCUAUAUACCGAAGCUGCGGAUGCGUGCUUGCACGCAUGGUAGGAGAGCGUUCCGUAAGCCUGCGAAGGUGCCUUGUAAAGGGUGCUGGAGGUAUCGGAAGUGCGAAUGCUGACAUGAGUAGCGAUAAAGGGGGUGAAAGGCCCCCUCGCCGUAAGCCCAAGGUUUCCUACGCAACGUUCAUCGGCGUAGGGUGAGUCGGCCCCUAAGGCGAGGCAGAAAUGCGUAGCUGAUGGGAAGCAGGUCAAUAUUCCUGCACCAUUGUUAGAUGCGAUGGGGGGACGGAUCGCGGAAGGUUGUCCGGGUGUUGGAAGUCCCGGUCGCUGCAUUGGAGAAGGCGCUUAGGCAAAUCCGGGCGCGCAAUUCAAGGGUGUGGCGCGAGCUCCUUAGGGAGCGAAGCAAUUGGAAGUGGUUCCAAGAAAAGCCUCUAAGCUUCAGUCUAACGAUGACCGUACCGCAAACCGACACAGGUGGGCGAGAUGAGUAUU